RNAcentral lists this small nucleolar RNA (138 nucleotides) under Ornithorhynchus anatinus (platypus). Lineage: Eukaryota; Metazoa; Chordata; Mammalia; Monotremata; Ornithorhynchidae. The record is from RNAcentral.
AACCUCCUAAGGUCAUGCCUGGAGAGUUUCCAGUACUCUACCAGUCUCGACUACAGGAGGGAGAGUCAGGCAGAGGCUUGUCCAUUCCAUUCCUAGCUUGGGCAGUGGCUAGCAAGUGGAAGACAUUCUGCUACAAGU